Molecule: long non-coding RNA, 1035 nt
Filed under: Taeniopygia guttata (zebra finch)
Lineage: Eukaryota; Metazoa; Chordata; Aves; Passeriformes; Estrildidae
Description: lncRNA (ENSTGUG00000029250.1)
Source: RNAcentral
AUAUAGAGUGAAUCCUCAUAUAAUGGAAAUAAGGUCAUGAUAAAUGUUUGUUGGGUUUUUUUCCUAAAACUUGUUUCCUUUUGCACAAAAACAGGGAGAAGAUGGGGAAGUUGGACCAAGAGGUCUCCCAGGUGAAGCUGGUCCACGGGGAUUACUGGGCCCCAGAGGAACACCUGGGCCCCCUGGACAACCUGUACGUAUGAGCUGUUGAGUAUUUCCAGUUUCCAGAAGGAAAAAAGGAAGUCCACUGAAAAUUGCUCUUGUUAUAUCAUUUGUUGUAGGGCAUUGCAGGUAUUGAUGGACCUUCAGGCCCAAAGGGAAACAUGGUGAGUAAGUAAACUGGGAAUUAUAAAGAUUCUAAAAAUGCUUUCCACAUUCUCUCAUUCCUGCAACUAUGCCAUCCCUUCCAUGUAAUUAAACUUUUAUGUCAACUAUUUGGAUUCAUUAUGAUUUUAUAUGGAAAAGACAAGGCUUCUAUUACUUAGUUUUCAGCCAAAAGCCCUGACCAUGCUUUCUCUCAGACUCCUUUAGCACCAUGGACUCCAGUGCUCAGGUCCUAUGUGUGGGCUGUUAUUCUCUGCUAAAGAAAAGGUCAUGAUAUUCAUUAGCAUGGAAAAAUUUCAUACUGGAGAGAAAGUUGCUGGUAGACUUUAAAGAAAGAGGAACAAAGAUGAGUUUGUACUCCUUUUAGUCUUGACAAUGAAGAUCUGUAGUACAGAAAUGCAAACCUAAUGCCCUGCUAUUUUUUUGCAUGGUAGGGUCCUCAAGGGGAACCAGGACCUCCUGGUCAGCAAGGAAUUCCAGGCCCACAAGGGCUUCCUGGUCCUCAAGGUCCUAUUGGGCCUCCUGGUGAAAAAGGGCCACAAGGCAAGCCUGGCCUUCCUGGCCUUCCCGGUUCUGAUGGGCCUCCUGGUCACCCUGGGAAAGAGGGUCAGUCUGGGGAUAAAGGUGCAUUGGGGCCUCCAGGUCCUCAGGGUCCUAUUGGAUAUCCAGGUCCUCGUGGUGUAAAGGUAAGAUUUAAUUAUUGAAUUCCUC